AUAGCCUUUAGAAAUGAAGAUUAAUACUCCAUAAUGUUGAGAGAUGGCAUCAUCUUUUAAUUAAAGAUUUAUCGGUACAAGAUGACUAUGCGUCCUAUUAGCUAGAUGGUAAGGUAACGGCUUACCAUGGCAACGAUAGGUAGGGGGUCUGAGAGGAUUAUCCCCCACACUGGUACUGAGACACGGACCAGACUCCUACGGGAGGCAGCAGUGAGGAAUAUU
Molecule: ribosomal RNA, 222 nt
Filed under: marine sediment bacterium BB0608_2216_1.2_8S0
Lineage: Bacteria
Description: partial 16S ribosomal RNA
Rfam family: Bacterial small subunit ribosomal RNA
Source: RNAcentral